GACGAACGCUGGCGGCGUGCUUAACACAUGCAAGUCGAACGGAAAGGCCCUGCUUUUGUGGGGUGCUCGAGUGGCGAACGGGUGAGUAACACGUGAGUAACCUGCCCUUGACUUUGGGAUAACUUCAGGAAACUGGGGCUAAUACCGUAUAGGAGCUCCUGCUGCAUGGUGGGGGUUGGAAAGUUUCGGCGGUUGGGGAUGGACUCGCGGCUUAUCAGCUUGUUGGUGGGGUAGUGGCUUACCAAGGCUUUGACGGGUAGCCGGCCUGAGAGGGUGACCGGCCACAUUGGGACUGAGAGACGGCCCAGACUCCUACGGGAGGCAGCAGUGGGGAAUAUUGCACAAUGGGCGGAAGCCUGAUGCAGCAACGCCGCGGGCGGGAUGACGGCCUUCGGGUUGUAAACCGCUUUCGCCUGUGACGAAGCGUGAGUGACGGUAAUGGGUAAAGAAGCACCGGCUAACUACGUG
RNAcentral lists this ribosomal RNA (468 nucleotides) under uncultured bacterium. Its description in RNAcentral is "partial 16S ribosomal RNA". It matches the Rfam family "Bacterial small subunit ribosomal RNA", at positions 28 to 507 of the family's 1533-position model. The record is from RNAcentral.